This 136-nucleotide ribosomal RNA is filed under the name uncultured bacterium. Its description in RNAcentral is "partial 16S ribosomal RNA". It matches the Rfam family "Bacterial small subunit ribosomal RNA", at positions 355 to 509 of the family's 1533-position model. The record is from RNAcentral.
UGGGGGAUAUUGCACAAUGGGGGGAACCCUGAUGCAGCGACGCCGCGUGGGUGAAGAAGCGCCUCGGCGCGUAAAGCCCUGUCAGCAGGGAAGAAAUGACGGUACCUGAAGAAGAAGCCCCGGCUAACUACGUGCC